RNAcentral lists this ribosomal RNA (253 nucleotides) under uncultured bacterium. Its description in RNAcentral is "partial 16S ribosomal RNA". It matches the Rfam family "Bacterial small subunit ribosomal RNA", at positions 524 to 776 of the family's 1533-position model. The record is from RNAcentral.
UACAGAGACUGCAAGCGUUAUUCGGAUUCACUGGGCGUAAAGGGUGCGCAGGCUGCUAAAUAUGUGGGGCGUGAAAGCUAGAAGCUCAACUUCGAGACUGCGCUCCAAACUAUUUGGCUAGAGCAUUGAAGAGAGUAGCAGAAUUCACGGUGUAGCAGUGAAAUGCGUAGAUAUCGUGAGGAAUACCAGAGGCGAAGGCGGCUACUUGGACAAUUGCUGACGCUCAGGCACGAAAGCGUGGGGAGCAAAAGGG